Molecule: ribosomal RNA, 492 nt
Filed under: uncultured bacterium
Lineage: Bacteria
Description: partial 16S ribosomal RNA
Rfam family: Bacterial small subunit ribosomal RNA
Source: RNAcentral
AGUGAACGCUGGCGGUAGGCCUAACACAUGCAAGUCGAACGGCAGCACAGUAAGAGCUUGCUCUUACGGGUGGCGAGUGGCGGACGGGUGAGGAAUACAUCGGAAUCUACUUUUUCGUGGGUGAUAACGUAGGGAAACUUACGCUAAUACCGCAUACGACCUACGGGUGAAAGCAGGGGAUCUUCGGACCUUGCGCGAUUGAAUGAGCCGAUUUCGGAUUAGCUAGUUGGCGGGGUAAAGGCCCACAAAGGCGACGAUCCGUAGCUGGUCUGAGAGGAUGAUCAGCAAAACUGGAACGGAGACACGGUACAGAAUACUACGGGAGGCAGCAGUGGGGAAUAUUGGACAAUGGGCGCAAGCCUGAUCCAGCCAUACCGCGUGGGUGAAGAAGGCCUUAGGGUUGUAAAGCCCUUUUGUUGGGAAAGAAAAGCAGCAGGUUAAUACCACGCUGUUCUGACGGUACCAAAAGAAUAAGCACCGGCUAACUUCGUG